UCCAGACUUCCUACGGGAGGCAGCAGUGGGGAAUAUUGGGCAAUGGGCGCAAGCCUGACCCAGCAAUGCCGCGUGAAGGAAGAAGGCUUUCGGGUUGUAAACUUCUUUGACAGGGGAAGAGCAGAAGACGGUACCCUGAAAACAAGCCACGGCUAACUACGUGCCAGCAGCCGCGGUAAUACGUAGGUGGCAAGCGUUGUCCGGAUUUACUGGGUGUAAAGGGCGUGUAGCCGGGAAGGCAAGUCAGAUGUGAAAUCCGGAGGCUCAACCUCCGAAUUGCAUUUGAAACUGUUUUUCUUGAGUACUGGAGAGGCAGACGGAAUUCCUUGUGUAGCGGUGAAAUGCGUAGAUAUAAGGAGGAACACCAGUGGCGAAGGCGGUCUGCUGGACAGCAACUGACGGUGAGGCGCGAAAGCGUGGGGAGCAAACAGGAUUAGAUACCCCCGUAUA
This 450-nucleotide ribosomal RNA is filed under the name uncultured bacterium. Its description in RNAcentral is "bacterial SSU rRNA". It matches the Rfam family "Bacterial small subunit ribosomal RNA", at positions 330 to 794 of the family's 1533-position model. The record is from RNAcentral.